CCCUGCUUGACCACCCAUCUCAUCGUGAAACCCUUACUGUGCCCCAGUCAUUAAUCAGAUGAGAUCACCUGAAAAGGUACGUCAAUUACAAGAUCAGUUCCUAGUAAUUCCCUGCACCAAUUUGAACAAAAUGAGAUGUGCGUCUUUUGCUCCCACCUGUGAGAUGCAGCCGUUCCCCGUAGGCGCAUUCCCUCGAACACCUGGAGCGCGACGAAGGAAACGACGAACCCCACGGCAGUCGGCACCAUCUCCUGCUUCCACCUUGGCUAGCUGCCCCUGCGCUCAGGCACGGCGCGAGUGGCCGCGGCCACCAGGGAGGGAACCAAGGGGACGCCUCGUAUUGUUCUCGAUUCAGUUA
This 358-nucleotide long non-coding RNA is filed under the name Brachypodium distachyon (stiff brome). RNAcentral describes it as "long non-coding RNA (BDIS_LNC001596)". Lineage: Eukaryota; Viridiplantae; Streptophyta; Magnoliopsida; Poales; Poaceae. The record is from RNAcentral.